This is a non-coding RNA of Cinara cedri, 441 nucleotides long. NCBI's taxonomy places the organism in Eukaryota, Metazoa, Arthropoda, Insecta, Hemiptera, Aphididae. The record is from the annotation of a GenBank genome assembly.
GACCAAUAAAAGUGCCGUUCUUCUCGAAUUAGUUUUUGUAAUUAUUUUUGGCAAUAUAUUUACGAGUAAUUUACACCGAGUGAUUUAACACAAAAUAUAAACGACGAAAAAAAAAUCCAUUUAUUUCAAGUAACAAUAACUGCAACACAAUUGACGCGACGACGUUUUUUAAAGCUUAAAAAUAUUAAUGUCCGCUUCGUCCGCUUACGGACGCAUUAUCCGUAUUUAUAAUAAUGACAUUAUACUGACAGAAUAAUAUAUUAAUGCGCAUUUCAAUACGCACUUACAUCUGCAUAUCACGUAGACCAUCUGUGCGUAAACAAAGAUAUUAAAUAUUUACCGAAUGACAUUGUGAUAGAAUAAUAAUAUUAUUAUGUAGUGCAGGCCGCCAAAACGCCGGUGUUCGACGCCAUAUGACGUGCGGUGUGUCGAUUAAACGCG